GAAGAUUCCGUAGGUGAACCUGCGGAUAUGCAUAUCAAUAAGCGGAGGAAGAUUCCGUAGGUGAACCGGAGGAAUAUGCUAGUCACUACGCGGAACAACGUUUCUCUUGGUUCUGGCAUCGAUGAAGAACGCAGCGAAAUGCGAUAAGUAGUGUGAAUUGCAGAAUUCAGUGAAUCAUCGAAUCUUUGAACGCACAUUGCGCCCCUUGGUAUUCCAUGGGGCAUGCCUGUUCGAGCGUCAUUUGUACCUUCAAGCUCUGCUUGGUGUUGGGUGUUUGUCUCGCCUCUGCGUGUAGACUCGCCUUAAAACAAUUGGCAGCCGGCGUAUUGAUUUCGGAGCGCAGUACAUCUCGCGCUUUGCACUCAUAACGACCGACGUCCCAAAAGUACAUUUUUUACACUCCUUGACCUCGGAAUCAGGUAGGGGAUACCCCGCUGAACUUAAGCAUAU
Molecule: ribosomal RNA, 450 nt
Filed under: Epicoccum nigrum
Lineage: Eukaryota; Fungi; Ascomycota; Dothideomycetes; Pleosporales; Didymellaceae
Description: eukaryotic LSU rRNA
Rfam family: 5.8S ribosomal RNA (bases 87-240)
Source: RNAcentral